Vigna angularis (adzuki bean) is the source of this 157-nucleotide small nuclear RNA. It matches the Rfam family "U12 minor spliceosomal RNA". Rfam says of the family: Although the U12 sequence is very divergent from that of U2, the two are functionally analogous. NCBI's taxonomy places the organism in Eukaryota, Viridiplantae, Streptophyta, Magnoliopsida, Fabales, Fabaceae. The record is from Rfam.
UUGCCUUAAACUAAUGAGUAAGGAAAACAAAGCAAGCAGUGGGAGCUGCUUGCAGCACUCAUUCUGAUGUGCAAGAAUUUUUGAAGGGGUUAUAGGCUGGUCUUGAGCAGACGCUGCUUACUUAUGCAGAACUCUCAAAGGCGGGCCUCCCAAUCCC